GAAGAAGAAGAAGAAGAUAAAAUCAGCAACAAAAUCGAAAAUUCCUCCGUACACAACGACGAAAACGGUGACGACGAUAGAGUAAUUGACGGUAGCAGUGGAGCUGAGAGUUUACGAGAAUCAAAGACGGGAGCUUUAAUUUCAGAAACCCUAGCUCAUCCUAAUGCAGAAUCAUCCGUACAAAUUGAAAUUGAUGGCCAAUCCGAAUUCGAUUCAGAGUUUUCUCCCUCUUAUCAACUUUCUGAAGUACCAGUGGAAUAUGAAC
Molecule: unclassified non-coding RNA, 265 nt
Filed under: Hevea brasiliensis (rubber tree)
Lineage: Eukaryota; Viridiplantae; Streptophyta; Magnoliopsida; Malpighiales; Euphorbiaceae
Source: RNAcentral